UUAACUAUUUACAUAGUACUCGGACAACAUAAUAAAGAGUUUUGGGGUCCUCUGGCAGGCACAGACCAGCCAAAGCCGGUGGUCACAAGACGGGCCUGCCAAAGCAACAAAGGUAAUGUAAACAAAGGGUGGGAGAUCUACCCCAAAGGGCAAUUUCUCUGUAAUGAUCCUUCCGCAGGUUCACCUACGGAAA
Molecule: unclassified non-coding RNA, 193 nt
Filed under: uncultured fungus
Lineage: Eukaryota; Fungi
Description: sequence contains ITS1
Source: RNAcentral